CACUUAACAGAAGCUUAUGUUCUCACAGUUCUAGAAUCUGGAAGUCCAAGAUUGAGGUGUCAGCAGGCGUUACCAGGUGCUGUGGUCUUUGCGCUCUACAGUCUGGGACGUGGCCCUGGUGAACAUAGUCAGGAUGCCUGAGACUCACAUGAGACAUGGGCCUCCACCUGCCGUGCUCUCCAUCCUUUGAAAGGAUCCCAUGGAUAAAGUGGGAACAGAGGGACAGAAUCCAGCAGUCUCCAUGAAUUGCUUGGCCGGAAAAGGAAGCAUCUCCUUCCAGAAGUGGGGAUUGUACCAUCACUCCUACCUACCUCAGAGGAACUUUAAGACAGAUA
Molecule: long non-coding RNA, 335 nt
Organism: Prionailurus viverrinus (fishing cat)
Lineage: Eukaryota; Metazoa; Chordata; Mammalia; Carnivora; Felidae
Exons: 3
Source: RefSeq, a predicted model, not a curated record